Nicotiana tabacum (common tobacco) is the source of this 3545-nucleotide non-coding RNA. The record is from RefSeq and is a predicted model, not a curated record. NCBI's taxonomy places the organism in Eukaryota, Viridiplantae, Streptophyta, Magnoliopsida, Solanales, Solanaceae.
UUCACUUUCUUUUCUGAUUUAGUUUGCACUCAUUGAGUUUUAUCUUCCCCUUUAGAUUCAAUUUCUUUUCUUUUCUUUUAUUGUUGUUCCACAGUCCUUUCAUUGUUAUUGAUUAUUUGUACAUACUUGAUUUUACACCUUCUUCAUCACUUUUCAAAUAGAUAUGACGAAAAUUAUUACUCCAUCUCAUGUGGAGAUUACUUUCUGCGAAAUAAUUCCCCUGUUUUCUAACUUAACACAUGUAAUUCUUUUGACAACUGGAAAAUCUUCCUGUUAAUCUACACUUUGUAAAGUUGUAUCAUCCUUAAGGUUUUUCUCCUUCUUCUUCUUCUUCUUCUUCUUCUUCUUCUUCUUCCUUUUCUUCCCACUUUGCACUUUACACUUAGGUGGAUUAUCCUGGCAAGUUCAGGUAAGCUUCUACCUAGGAGAUAAUGACCAAGGAAAACUGCAUUUUUCAUUAACAAAAAAAUUUGGCACAAAUAUUAUUUCUUUUAAACAUUGUUUCUUACUAUAUAUGAAAAACGUUUUUUUGAUAAAGACUAUAUAUGAAGAACUUUAAGAAACAAUCAAUCGUCCUACUAACCAUAGAGUUUUUAAUUUUACACACCAGCUGGUAUCAAGAUGUGUCUGCUACUGUACAUAUGCUACUGACUGUGAAUGACAUCUGCUGGACAUGUUAUUUUGCUAAAAGUAUUUGGAAGUAUUAUAGUAGCCCUGCAGAACUCUUUUAUAUAACCUUUUGUCAAUAUGAUUAUUUUAGUGUUCAGCUACGUCUAUAAUACAAAAUACUGUUGAGCUAAUUGUGACACUUGCAGCUAGUGUGCUUCAUGAUAUACAGGUGUUUUCAUCACAAAUCGAUUCCUAAAGUUAUGUCAAUGGCUAAUUUAUUUUACUGUUAUUAUAGUUUCUUUGAUUGCUUACUAUAUUCUUCUUGUUAUAUGGUUUCUGCAUAUUAUGACAUCUUGAUCAUUAACAACCUUUCCUAUGUGUUGGAUUCACUUUCACUUAAUGGUAAGUGAAUGUGUUCUACACUGCAAAACAAUUGUCUCUGAUUGUUACAUCAGAUAGCCAUAUUUUCUUCUGUUCUUAUCAUUCUAUAGUUGGAACAAUACAAGUUACUUGACUAAUCCUUGUUUUCCUAAAAUCUGGUAAUAACUGUUGGGUUCAUUUACGCACAGUAGACAGCUGGACUGCCUAAUGUCAGCGAAGCCCAGGAAGAUCAACAAACCAUUCGGAUCUUCAUGCUAACAUAAAAGAACAAAUAAUAGUUCAGUCCUUUUCACAAGGAGAUAUCUCUAUCUACCUUUUUCCAGUUUUGCCCGAUGGUAUUACCAGAAAAUUAUAUGCGAGCAAUUUCACUUGAUAUGCAAUUCAUAUUCCUUGGUAUAAAUUGUGUUUAUGUAAGAUGGUAUUUUUUACUUUUGAGUAGAGACAAAAAAACAGUAAAAUCUGGAGUUAUUUUCGAUGUGCCUUCUGUUUUUUAAACUUUUCAUCAUGUAAAUAUAGUUAUUAUAGGUGGUUUUGGACAAGCACAUGAUGAUAAUUCUGCUUCUGGGUAAACAAUGAGCUAUGACAUAUUUUAAAGUUCUUUCCCAUGGUAUUCAAUUCAGCUCGCUUUCUCUUCUAUAUCUUUCUUUGAUUUGCUCUACUUCUUCGACUUUCUUGCUGCCAUGAUUUGCUUUAAUAACUUUUGGACUGCCUUUUGAUUCAUACUAUAUCGAUUUCAUAUUUGCCUUUUUGGUUUUCUAAUGUGUUUCAUUUUUGUUAUUACGAAUUGACUUUUACAAUUUCGGUCAUUAACUGUUUGUUCUUGGAAAAAGCUACAGUAGUUAAUAGAUUUUUCUCUCAUAAUCUUAAUGUUUCGAACUUUACUAGAGGUUAUAUAUCAUCACACAGAUGAAAAUAGAACGAAGUUCAUAGAUACUCAAAAGAUAGAUAUAGUAAUGAAAUUCUACAGUUUAAAUUCUCAGGCCAUAAUGCGAAUUCUGCUUUUGAAAAGAUUAAUGUGUUAAAAAUUCUCAGCCCUCAAUCUACAGUGACUUUGCUUGCCAUUUGGCAUUUGAAGAUGUUUCAUUGUAAGGUACUCCGGACCUUAAGUUUAUUUAUAUUAUAUACAUAAAUGAAUGACUAACCAUUUAUGUAGUACAAAUGUGACAACCCUUCGGCCUAUUCAUGGAGGUACAUAUAUAGAUCUUAUACAAUAUUUGGGACCUUCAUGUACCAUACAAGUUGUCUAGCUCUGUUUCUGCUGUUCUAAAAGGAUAAUGUGUUUUAUUUUUGAGCCUUAGGUUUUCCUUGGUAGCCUUCACUUCUGUAAGAUGAAUAUUUUUAUUUUUAGUUCUUCGUACAAAAGAGUUGAGCGGUUUAAUUUUGAUUAAAAAUAUUGUUCAGCUUGCAUGACCUUCUAAUGAGAAUCCUUCAACUGUUGAACAUGACUAAGGACUGUGCAUUAUAAAAAUAGUGCUUAAAGCCUGAUAUGCAUAUAUGAUUAUACAGAAAUUUCUAUAUAUUUGAGCUGCUUCUCCGUGGGCCUCAAAAUGUACGUCCACCACAUAAAUUAACAUUUGAAAAACUACAAUAGGAUAAUAGUAUGCUAAAAUUUGUGUCUACAGAACUCCAAAGUUAGGAUGUUGCAUAGAUCAUACAGUUUUUAUAUUACUUCUUUUUGGUUUUAUCAUAACCAACUAACCGAAAGCACCAAACCUUCAUGUCCAUCGCUUGAAAUCUCUAUGAAGCAUGAUGAUUGACAUGACUUCGUAUGCAUUGCUGAUAUUUAGCUUCUUAUCUAAGAAUAUAUAUUAUAUAAAUGUUAAUCUUUAAUAUUGAAGCAAGGACAUGAUUAUUAAACCAGAUUAAAAUGAGAAUGGGACAUUAUUAGAUAGUUACUGUCUCUUUUUCUCUCCAAACAUGCUUCCAUUAUGCGACAUUAUUUGAUAGCUACUGUAUGCUUUUCUCUAUAAACUUGUUGUCAUUCUCAUAUAUUUCUUCUCCUCUAGGUACAAAGUUGCUUUUCAAUGUUUCGUCUAGCCAGGCUUCUUUCUGGGUUACUUGAUGGAGAAAUUUAUCAACUAAGCUACCUAGAAAAAAAAUUAUCUUUGUUUUGCUCUUUUUUUGACUGUUGCUUUACCCUUUGUUUGACGUGGAUUUUUUAUAGUCGCGUGACCACUUUUCAGUAUCAUAGGUUUCCCGUUUGUAAGGACUGAAUGUAUUCUCGCUCUCUUCAUGAUGCAGGAAGCCCCUCUGAAAAGCUUAUGACGUAACCUUCAAGGACAGUCUGACGGUAGAUAUACUUUAAAGUUGACCCAGAACCUGUGUGAAGGUUUGGCUUGCGAACGAACUAGCUCUUCCAGCAUCGAGUGUUGUUAACCGUGGAAUCAACGUCCAUCAACAAAUAAAAGCUCCCACUGAAGGGAAAAUGUCGACUUUGUACGCUUCAGAUUAUCUUCGCUUCAUUAUGUUUGUUUUCCUUUAUCGGAAAAAUCAUGACAUAUCAGUUUAUUACCUAAAAUAUUCAUCUAGCUCAACAUACUUGCUUGCUUUCACAA